GUGGGGAAUAUUGGACAAUGGGCGCAAGCCUGAUCCAGCCAUGCCGCGUGAGUGAUGAAGGCCUUAGGGUUGUAAAGCUCUUUCAGUGGGGACGAUAAUGAUGGUACCCACAGAAGAAGCCACGGCUAACUUCGUGCCAGCAGCCGCGGUAAUACGAAGGGGGCUAGCGUUGUUCGGAUUUACUGGGCGUAAAGCGCACGUAGGCGGAUCGUUAAGUCGGGGGUGAAAUCCUGGAGCUCAACUCCAGAACUGCCUUCGAUACUGGCGAUCUUGAGUCCGGAAGAGGUGAGUGGAACUCCUAGUGUAGAGGUGGAAUUCGUAGAUAUUAGGAAGAACACCAGUGGCGAAGGCGGCUCACUGGUCCGGUACUGACGCUGAGGUGCGAAAGCGUGGGGAGCAAACAGGAUUAGAUACCCGUGUAGUCC
RNAcentral lists this ribosomal RNA (425 nucleotides) under uncultured bacterium. RNAcentral's name for it is "partial 16S ribosomal RNA". It matches the Rfam family "Bacterial small subunit ribosomal RNA", at positions 354 to 796 of the family's 1533-position model. The record is from RNAcentral.